RNAcentral lists this ribosomal RNA (122 nucleotides) under uncultured bacterium. RNAcentral's name for it is "partial 16S ribosomal RNA". The record is from RNAcentral.
CCCGGGCCUUGUACACACCGCCCGUCACACCACGAAAGUCGGCAACACCCGAAGUCAGUGGCCCCAACCCCGCAAGGGAGGGGAGCUGCCCGAAAGGGUGGGGGGUUUGGGUGAUUGGGGUG